Panthera pardus (leopard) is the source of this 329-nucleotide unclassified non-coding RNA. Its record names the gene 7SK. It matches the Rfam family "7SK RNA". From Rfam's summary of the family: 7SK was discovered as an abundant small nuclear RNA in the mid-70s but a possible function has only recently been suggested. Two independent studies have found that 7SK RNA binds the CDK9/cyclin T complex (known as elongation factor P-TEFb). P-TEFb activates transcription by phosphorylating the C-terminal domain of RNA polymerase II. Lineage: Eukaryota; Metazoa; Chordata; Mammalia; Carnivora; Felidae. The record is from Ensembl.
GGAUGUGAGGGCGAUCUGGCUGCGACAUCUGUCACCUCAUUGAUCGCCAGGGUUGAUUCGGCUGAUCUGGCUGGCUAGGCGGGUGUCCCCUUCCUCCCUCUCCGCUCCAUGUGCGUCCCUCCCGAAGCUGCGUGCUUGGUCGAAGAGGACGACCUUCCCCAACAGAGGAGGAUCGUUCUUCCGUCAAGGGUAUACGAGUAGCUGCGCUCCCCUGCUAGAACCUCCAAACAAGCUCUCAAGGUCCAUUUGUAGGAGAACGUAGGGUAGUCAAGCUUCAGACUCCAGACACAUCCAAAUGAGGCACUGCACGUGGCAGUGUGCCUUUCUAA